Long non-coding RNA from Dreissena polymorpha, 152 nucleotides. RefSeq lists it as uncharacterized. The transcript has 3 exons. The record is from RefSeq and is a predicted model, not a curated record. NCBI's taxonomy places the organism in Eukaryota, Metazoa, Mollusca, Bivalvia, Myida, Dreissenidae.
UUCACGCCUAUCAGAUAUGAUAAACAAAACAGUCGAAAAGGCGCUUUAUCAAAUACAAGGAUCAAAUGAAGACAAUAAAGACAAUAAACACUUUAUAGGAAUUGAUCAUUACACAACCGCCGUGGAUGAAGCUUUUAUACAGCAAAAGAUGG